Molecule: ribosomal RNA, 253 nt
Filed under: uncultured bacterium
Lineage: Bacteria
Description: partial 16S ribosomal RNA
Rfam family: Bacterial small subunit ribosomal RNA
Source: RNAcentral
AACGUAGGAGACAAACGUUAUCCGGAGUUACUGGGCGUAAAGGGCGUGCAGGUGGUCUGUUGAGUCUGGCGUGAAAGCUCUCGGCUAAACCGGGAGAGGUCGUUGGAUACUGGCGGACUAGAGGACGGUAGAGGCGUGUGGAAUUCCGGGUGUAGUGGUGAAAUGCGUAGAGAUCCGGAGGAACACCAGUGGCGAAGGCGACACGCUGGGCCGUACCUGACACUAAAACGCGACAGCAUGGGGAGCGAACGGG